The sequence is a transfer RNA, 72 nucleotides long. It matches the Rfam family "tRNA". Rfam says of the family: Transfer RNA (tRNA) molecules are approximately 80 nucleotides in length. Their secondary structure includes four short double-helical elements and three loops (D, anti-codon, and T loops). The record is from Rfam.
GGCCUCGUGGUCUAGUGGUAUGAUUCUCGCUUUGGGUGCGAGAGGUCCCGGGUUCGAUCCCCGGCGGGGCCA